CAGUCGCCGCGGUAAUACAGAGGGUGCGAGCGUUAAUCGGAUUUACUGGGCGUAAAGCGUGCGUAGGCGGCUUUUUAAGUCGGAUGUGAAAUCCCUGAGCUUAACUUAGGAAUUGCAUUCGAUACUGGGAAGCUAGAGUAUGGGAGAGGAUGGUAGAAUUCCAGGUGUAGCGGUGAAAUGCGUAGAGAUCUGGAGGAAUACCGAUGGCGAAGGCAGCCAUCUGGCCUAAUACUGACGCUGAGGUACGAAAGCAUGGGGAGCAAACAGGAUUAGAUACCCGCGUAGUCCCUGUCACUUAUAC
Molecule: ribosomal RNA, 301 nt
Filed under: uncultured bacterium
Lineage: Bacteria
Description: partial 16S ribosomal RNA
Rfam family: Bacterial small subunit ribosomal RNA
Source: RNAcentral